Molecule: ribosomal RNA, 382 nt
Filed under: uncultured eukaryote
Lineage: Eukaryota
Description: partial 18S ribosomal RNA
Rfam family: Eukaryotic small subunit ribosomal RNA
Source: RNAcentral
UGUAAGCGUAUACCAAAGUUGUUGCAGUUAAAACGCUCGUAGUCGGAAUUUGGCAGUUCCGGAUGUGUGCACGUCGUGUGCGCACUUCGCGGGGAUUGCUUUUGUGGUCUUGCGUAGGAUGAGGCACUUUUAUUAGUGAACGUCCUCACGCAACCACUUUUCACUGUGAGAAAAUCAGAGUGCUCAAAGCAGGCAUUUGCCGUGAAUGUAUUAGCAUGGAAUAAUAGAAUAGGACUUGGUUCUAUUUUGUUGGUUUGUUGGGACUGAGUAAUGAUUAAGAGGGACAGUUGGGGGCAUUUGUAUUUCGGUGCUAGAGGUGAAAUUCUUAGAUUACCGAAAGACAAACUGCUGCGAAGGCGUCUGCCAAGGAUGUUUUCAUUGA